AUUUCAAUAUAAGAGAGUUUCAAAAGAUUACAUUGCUCCCCAACAACAAAGGGUUUAGUUCACCAUGGACAUGGUUAAACUAGAUGAAAUUAAAUGAAAGAAUGGAAGAGAAAACCCUAGGUUUGAUAAAGUGGAGCCUAAGCAUCCAAGAAAUCUCCUCCAAGGUGUGUAGAACUGCUCUGGACUUCUAUGCUUGCCAAAAGAUAACUUUGAGGGUCGCAUUGGGGCUAUUUAUAAAGCAUAAAAGUAACAGAAUUUAAGCCCAGGCCCAACAUUGCACCGCUCAGCGCCUAAAUUGGCCACUCAGCGGUUUGCCUCUAAUCGCAGGACCUCUCAGCGGUCCAUCUCACCGCUCAGCGGUUUGCCUCUAACCGCUCUGGCCGCUCAGUGACACCGCUUGGGCGAGAAGCAGUGAUUUCCCCUUCGUCUCUGGCGCUUAGCGUUGGAUUUGGCACUGAGCGAUGGACUUGACUCUUCUUUUCUUCCUUUUUCCCUCUUUUCGUGAGUCUAAGUCCUCCCUACUUCACUUCCAUCUUCAAUUCUCAUCAAAAUCCUGCAAAACAAUGCAAAAACAAGCAUAAUAUCUCUAAAAACAACUUUUGACUCUCAUGUGACUCAACUAAGUGUUUUACUUGAUUAUAAGCUCAUUCUAAGUCAAAAAGGGUGUGUUUUAAUAUCAAAUUCAAGUAUAAAAAUAACGGUUUUGAGACCGUUAUCAACACCAAAAACACCAUAUAACCAUAUUUCAAAAACAAAACGGUAAGUCAUAAUACAACAAGUAUUUAUACUGUAAAAUCUGCACCAAAAACAUGUAACAAUUAUUUUUCUGAAUAGAAAUGUACGGUGGUAUAUCUCUAACGUUCGGUCUGCUAAACCGAGCGGCCAAGCUUGCUAAUCAAAUGGGCCGAAUCAUCAGAUUGGUCCAGCUCUAUUGGGCUCGAGGCCCAUCAUCUCGCAAAUAUGAAUAACUGAAUAAUAUCAUAUAUCAUGUACCAAAUAAUAUCUCAGUAGAGAUAUAUCAGGUAAGUUUGUUUAUAUUUUAUUUUGUUUAUAUUUUAUUUUGUUCUGUUAAUCUCAUAUCAAUCCAAAGCCUAUAAAUAAAGAACUAAAGGCUCCAAACAAGGUACGCUCACAUUCCCUCACACUCAUACUUUUACACCUAAUUGAGUAUCAAUCCUCUCUCCAUUCUAAGCAUCAACUUGUUGAGGAUCGAGGAUCUUCCUACACCGACAUCUAACUUGAUCGUCGGAGUGCCUUUACAGGUACCCCCCCCCCCUCUCGGGUGAAGGUUGGAACUUGACGGACGGUCUGAAGAACGGGCGACGAAGGUAUUUGAAGAUCUCGCACUAGAAAGAAGCAAAAUCGCGUCAUCGAGGUUAGUACUUUCGGUCCCAGAAAUUCCUACCGAAACAGAAACAUCAAGCUAAAUACAACAACUAACAUCACAUUUAAUUAUGCAUCAAGACAACAUGUACUCUUUGUUUUCUGGAAAGAUAUAAGUUGAAAGCUUGUUGAGAAGACUUCCAAGAAAUAGAGGUGUGUCUCAAUAAACAACUUAAGUACCUUAUCUUUCUUUAGCCAAAGUGUUCCCCAACAAGUUUCACAAAUCUCACAUCCAUUUGCAUACAUCAUGUUUGUAACAAAAUUUUGUAACUUACACUUUAAAACAAUCCAUACAUCAUCAUUAUAUUGGCCAACAAUCAAUAAAAUCUCAUACUUAACAGAAAAAUAAUUGCUCAAGAGGUAUAUUUUUUAAACAACAACCAACAUUCAUGUCCAAGUAACAAGCUUAUAUCGUGACCUUUUCAUAAAAAUAAAGAGACAUGGUUUAACUCCCCUUAAAACCUCACUAUCAAGCUUUUACAUAUAUCCAAAAUCAUACAAAAUGUAAAGAGAAAGGUUAGCCCCCUUUACCUCUUGAUGAACUACUUUGAUCCUUUCUCUACGAAAUCUGAACAACAGCUCCCUUCUUUAACCUUCAAAACCUUCUACAAACACAAAGAGAACCCCUCUCUACAAACAACUCUCUUUGCAACAUAAUCUAAACACCCUUUCAGAAGUUCUCACAACCUUCUCUAUAACUCAAAUCUUAACCCUCAAAUCUCCUUAUUAGCGACUAAAUUCUUGCUCUCUCUUCUCAACUCUCACUCCAAAGAUGAAAAUAUCCAUUUCCUCCCCUCCGUUUAUAGUUGAAAUUAGGGUUAUUGUAGUUGUACUGUAAUAGUACUGUAGCUCUACAACAUUUUAUUGUAGCAGUACUAUAGAUGUGCUAAAUUUUUACAGUAUUAAUACUAUAGGAACACGUUUUUCACGAGGUAUUUUCAAUGUAGCAUGUACAUAUUUUACUGUAGCAUUUUACUAUAAUAUUAUACAUAUAUUUCGAUAUAUAUAUAUAUAUAUAUAUAUAUAUAUAUAUAUAUAUAUAUAUAUAUAUAUAUAUAUAUAUAUAUAUCUUUUCAAGUGAAACUAUUUUUCAAGGGUCUUACACCCAACAGAUAGCCAUCAAGCCAAGUUCUUUUUGUUGACAUACAACCAUUUAAUAUUUUUUUUAACUUAUUCUUAUUUUGUAUAUAUAAUUUUUUAAUGCAAACCAUUAUAUACACUCAUCAUAUAUUACUUGCACACAAGACUUUUACCUUACCAUCAAAAAUUCUAAUUAAUUAACCACAUGGUACUAAAAUUAAACCUUAUCUUAGAUAUUCUAAUAACUAAUUUCGUCGGGUCUUACACUUCUCAUAUUCUUCAUUCCUUAUCACAACUUGUGCACAGUCAUGUGAUAACCUAUUUAGUUUAAACAAACAUCCUUCAUACCAUCAAACCUAUUAUACCCACUAUAAUUAAUAAUGACAAAAUUCAAAAUUUUUGAGGUAGGUUGAGGAGUUUGCUUGGGGCUUUCUCUCUGCAAAAUAUAUGGACGUAAGAGGAAGAAGACUUUAAAGAAGGGUUUAUGAUAAAUACAGAUUGACUCAUAGUUUGCCAUUCUCAUGUCCUCUACCUCUUUGAACCUCUGCAUUGGUAAAGCAAAGAACUCAAUACUCGAAUUGGACAAUCUGGAAUACAUUACGGAAUUUAUAAUGGGUUUUGAGAUUUUAAACAUACCAAAUUCUAUAGUCAAAUACAUGAUUUCGAAAUCGAAAGAUACAUAUUUGAACGAAUUGUACGAUCCAGACACUUUUCAAAUUCGAAAUCAAAUGCUAGAGUGUAGAAUCUGGUAUGUAUUCCUAAUUUGAAAAACAAAUGACAUCACAGAGAUUACUUUCAACGAUUACACCCACCUCUAAUUAAACCCCAUGCACGUAAUAAAUCCACUUACCUCUCACUCUUUGAGAUUUAGAACAAGGAUGAACCACUUCUUCUCCACAAGUUUUGAGCAAUUGGUGCAAAAUCUUGAGUAUGGUGAUGCACAACGUGGUAAUCAAGAGGUGAUGAAGGUACAUAACGCUCAAUGGAGAUUUUCACCAAUGGAGAUGCAAGCCAUCAUAUCCUUGACUAAGUUGUGAGGAGAUGCACAAGUUGUGAGGAGGAACGACUAAG
This 3534-nucleotide long non-coding RNA is filed under the name Vigna radiata. RNAcentral's name for it is "long non-coding RNA (VRAD_LNC006505)". The record is from RNAcentral. Lineage: Eukaryota; Viridiplantae; Streptophyta; Magnoliopsida; Fabales; Fabaceae.